UACACUCAGACCAAAUAAGCUAGUCCCUCGCUAUAUGUUAAGAUACAUUAUUAUUAUGUUAUUUAUAUAGCGCAAUCAAAUUCCGUAGCGCUGUACAAUGGGUGGACGAACAGACAUGUAGUUGUAACCAGAAAAGUUGGACACACAGGAACAGAGGGGUUGAGGGCCCUGCUCAAUGAGCUUACAUGCUAGAGGGAGUGGGGUAAAAUGACACAAAAAGGUAAGGAUAGUAUUAGACUAAUGACAGUUGCAGAAGAGAAAUC
Pelobates cultripes (western spadefoot toad) is the source of this 263-nucleotide non-coding RNA. The record is from the annotation of a GenBank genome assembly. NCBI's taxonomy places the organism in Eukaryota, Metazoa, Chordata, Amphibia, Anura, Pelobatidae.